RNAcentral lists this long non-coding RNA (251 nucleotides) under Salvia miltiorrhiza (redroot sage). Its description in RNAcentral is "long non-coding RNA (SMIL_LNC004110)". The record is from RNAcentral. Lineage: Eukaryota; Viridiplantae; Streptophyta; Magnoliopsida; Lamiales; Lamiaceae.
GCGAAAGGUGGUCAACCGUUGGUGGACAGAUUUUUAAGUGGUUGUUUCGGACACUUAUUAGAUUGGAAUCCGGGGUCAAAGUGUGCUAUGGUGUAGAGAAUCAUUUGCAUCAUUUUAACUUGUAAAUAUUAUUUUCGUAUAAUAUUUACAUAUGUGCGGUAUUUCAAACUCAUUUCCUUGGUGGUAUUUUAGGCACAAAAGGUGAUGGGGGAAUCAUAAAAGGACAAAAUGAUAGAGAAUCAUAGUACACU